CUGGGGCCUCUCCCAGCCUCGGGGCCGGCUGAGCACUGAGCAAGGCCCUGUCCAGGGAGGCCGGGACCACCUCGGCUUCUGGUUUGGACAGUGGGGUUGAUAACCUGGGUCCUGCCCCCUGCCGUGAAGAUCAGGUGCCAUCUUGGUUCCCUGUAACAGCCCAAGUAAGGUGACAGAUGCCCUGAGGUCACAGGGCGCUUUCACAAACAGUGUCUGUUGACCUCUUGGCAGGCGGAGCAGGGACUGUUGUCUUCAGCUUACAGAAUGGAACAGAGGCCUUCAGAGAGAGAAAGCCGCCCAGUUCACCCAGAAUAAGAAGUCAGAAUGUCUGGCUUCCAGUCCUGUGCACGCCCUCUUGGUCUACGCUGCCCCCUGCUGCUGCCUUUAGCCAAACCACAGAAGACUGAGAAACUCCAGGAGCACAAGGGAAGAGAACUAUUCCAGAAAGCUAAGCCAAGGCGUUUGCUGGCUUAAACAUCGGUCAUGGCUUUGAGCUUCCUGGCAGCCAAAGGAAAAAGGAAAUGCAGUCAGUGGCCAGGCUGUCUGUUAUGGAGCAGAGGAAACUUAAAAAACAGAGACAUGCUCCGGAUAACAGGAAAAGAGGGGUGGAACGAGAUCUUACGAUACACCAUUUGUUCAUGCACUGACAAUGUAGGGAACGCCCCCAAAUUCUCACACCGCAGGGGUCUUGUACUUGGAACUGUCUUUCUGAAAGGGUCACCCCCAGCUCUAGCCGGGAGGCUGCUGCCUGGGUGACAGGCCCCUCCAGGAGCAGGGGAGACGGCGGGCAGGGCUUGACCCCCGGAGAAGAGAACUUCAGGGAGAGACCACGGUGUCGCGGGCCAACAGCCUGAGCUCUGGAGACUCACGGGUCCAGUUUUCUGAGACUUCCCAUCCACCAUCAUCAGUCGAAGGACACUGUCCUCACUUCCUGGGGACAAAGGACCACAUCCAGGUGGCUGAGAACAGAAGUGAACUCUCUCGCAGGACUGGACUCCGGGGGUCCCAGAGCAAGUCGGCAGAAGAGACUGUCUCCCUCUGGGGACUCUGGAGCGGACCCUGCCUGGCCUCUUGCCAGUCUCGGUCGGUCGACCUGCGGCUGCCCCUCCAGCCUCUGCCUCGUGUCCACGCAGCCCUCUUCUCUGUGCGUCUCUGAGUCUCUGUCUGUGUUUUCUGAUAAAGACACUGGACAUUGGGUUCAGGAUGCACUGUCACCCAGGUCACCCUUAUCCCAACUAAUUGCAUCUGCAAGUAAGGGCCACGUUCUACAAUUCUGGGUGGUCAGGAAUUUUGGAGGGAACACUAUUUAAGCCCCACAAACAGCU
RNAcentral lists this long non-coding RNA (1325 nucleotides) under Marmota monax (woodchuck). The record is from RNAcentral. Lineage: Eukaryota; Metazoa; Chordata; Mammalia; Rodentia; Sciuridae.